GUGCUCACUUUGGCAGCACAUAUACUAAAACUGGAACGAUACAGAGAUUAGCAUGGCCCCUGUGCAAGGAUGACACGUAAAUUCGUGAAGCAUUGAAAAAAAGU
Molecule: small nuclear RNA, 104 nt
Filed under: Camelus ferus (Wild Bactrian camel)
Lineage: Eukaryota; Metazoa; Chordata; Mammalia; Artiodactyla; Camelidae
Source: RNAcentral